RNAcentral lists this unclassified non-coding RNA (581 nucleotides) under Hevea brasiliensis (rubber tree). Lineage: Eukaryota; Viridiplantae; Streptophyta; Magnoliopsida; Malpighiales; Euphorbiaceae. The record is from RNAcentral.
GGAAUUUUCCAUGAACCCCCCAUAUCGUUUUCAUAUCGUGCUCCUUCCUGCCUGUUUCCCAUGAUUUUCUUCUCUAUUUCCCAAGCCCUUUUUGUCAAAGAACCAACCAUCUCAUAAAAGCCCAUCCCUAUCUCUUCUACUUUCCACAUAUAUUAGAGCAUGCAGUAGAAAUCUUUUCAAAAACAAGAUAACAAACAGAACAAAAUUAAACCCACUUGAUACUGCCAACAAUGGCGACUCCUUGGCCUGAAAAUCUAUCAACCAACAGGGUACGGGUCAUAAAAGUGCUUGCUCAGGGCCAAGAAUCUGCAACCCAUCUUCAAUUACUCCUCAAGAAACCUUAUGGAGAAGAUGUGUUUCUCUUAGAUGAUAAGCUUGUAGUCAAGAUCAUGAGAUCUUUCACUGAAGCUCUUUCCCUGUUAACUUCUAGUGAUUUUGUUGAGAUUCUUCAGAACCAGACAACUUCACAAGUGGACUCGGUUUGUUGUGAUGACCGGAGAUCUCGAGAUUCCGGAGAGAGCAAGAAGAGGCCAACUGCCAAGGAUAGGAGGGGUUGCUACAAGAGAAAGAAGACUUCCCAG